GGCGUGCCUCUUUAAUAACUAUGAUUAUGUGUAGGAAAUUUAUUGGUUUCUGUGUGCGGUUAAAUGUAAAUAGGGGAAGUUAUAUAAAUUCUUACUACAGGCUCAUAAUUAUCAGGAUGUGGUCAUGAUUUAUUUGGUUUUAUCAUUUAGGCGUUUUUCUAUUACAAUGGCUUGUUUGUUGUCUCAUUUUUGCUAUUCAACCACUUUCUCUCAAUUAUAUCAAAAGGCUACUUAUUUCAUCUUGGACUUAAGUGGUGACACGAGUAUUGUCAAAU
This 275-nucleotide unclassified non-coding RNA is filed under the name Hevea brasiliensis (rubber tree). The record is from RNAcentral. Lineage: Eukaryota; Viridiplantae; Streptophyta; Magnoliopsida; Malpighiales; Euphorbiaceae.